AAAAAAAUGCAGUGCGGAUAUAACUCGAAUAAAAUUCAUAUUUUAAUUUUUUAAAUUUGUUGAAAAAUAUGAUUUAAAAAAUAGAUUCGUUAAUUAUUCGAAUACGCGAUUUAUACGAAUAUUAUACGUUCACCAAUUAACAAUUUAGAAUAAAAAAUUCGGCUAUUAAACUAAGCUUUUCUCUCUAUAUCACUUUAUACUACUAGCAUAUAUAUAGUUGUAAAUUCUUAAAAAUAUAAAAAAAGAGAGCUACAAAAUAAAGUAGAUUUAGUAAUAAAAGCAAUAGCAAAUUUUAUUGGCGUCUCCAUCUUCAUCUUUUUCAUGAUCCACAUAUUUUGGAAGGUCAUGAAAUUUUUCAAUAAUUCGCGAAUAAUUCGGUAAUAAUUCGGUCAUAAUUCGGAAAGAAAUUUUAUCCAAAAAAUUGGUGCGCUUUUGGCCGAAUACUUCGACAUAGGCAAAUUAUUCGCGAAUAAUAAAUCUAACGCAAAAAUUUACGUAUUAUUCCAAUUUUUUGGGAAUAAAUCAUAUACGACUGUUUUAUUCAGAUUUUCAAUAAUUCUCAAAUUAACUAACUAUGAUCCAUACAGUAUAAGUUCAGUAAAUAAAUAAAUAAAUAAUAUUAAAAAAUAAUUUGAACAA
This 639-nucleotide long non-coding RNA is filed under the name Ananas comosus (pineapple). Its description in RNAcentral is "long non-coding RNA (ACOM_LNC035066)". Lineage: Eukaryota; Viridiplantae; Streptophyta; Magnoliopsida; Poales; Bromeliaceae. The record is from RNAcentral.